GACGAACGCUGGCGGCGUGCCUAAUACAUGCAAGUAGAACGCUGAAGGAGGAGCUUGCUUCUCUGGAUGAGUUGCGAACGGGUGAGUAACGCGUAGGUAACCUGCCUGGUAGCGGGGGAUAACUAUUGGAAACGAUAGCUAAUACCGCAUAAUAGUAGAUGUUGCAUGACAUUUGCUUAAAAGGUGCAAUUGCAUCACUACCAGAUGGACCUGCGUUGUAUUAGCUAGUUGGUGGGGUAACGGCUCACCAAGGCGACGAUACAUAGCCGACCUGAGAGGGGGGUCGGCCACACUGGGACGGUGACACGGCCCAGACUCCUACGGGAGGCCGCAGUAGGGAAUCUUCGGCAAUGGGCGGAAGUCUGACCGAGCAACGCCGCGUGAGUGAAGAAGGUUUUCGGGUCGUAAAGCUCUGUUGUAAGAGAAGAACGAGUGUGAGAGUGGAAAGUUCACACUGUGACGGUAUCUGACCAGAAAGGGACGGCUAACUACGUG
This 495-nucleotide ribosomal RNA is filed under the name uncultured bacterium. Its description in RNAcentral is "partial 16S ribosomal RNA". It matches the Rfam family "Bacterial small subunit ribosomal RNA", at positions 28 to 507 of the family's 1533-position model. The record is from RNAcentral.